AGAGUUUGAUCAUGGCUCAGAACGAACGCUGGCGGCAGGCCUAACACAUGCAAGUCGAGCGCACUCUUCGGAGUGAGCGGCGGACGGGUUAGUAACGCGUGGGAACGUACCCAGAUCUAAGGAAUAGCCACUGGAAACGGUGAGUAAUACCUUAUACGCCCUUCGGGGGAAAGAUUUAUCGGAUUUGGAUCGGCCCGCGUUAGAUUAGGUAGUUGGUGGGGUAAUGGCCUACCAAGCCUACGAUCUAUAGCUGGUUUUAGAGGAUGAUCAGCAACACUGGGACUGAGACACGGCCCAGACUCCUACGGGAGGCAGCAGUGGGGAAUCUUAGACAAUGGGCGCAAGCCUGAUCUAGCCAUGCCGCGUGAGUGAUGAAGGCCUUAGGGUCGUAAAGCUCUUUCGCCUGUGAUGAUAAUGACAGUAGCAGGUAAAGAAACCCCGGCUAACUCCGUGCCAGCAGCCGCGGUAAUACGGAGGGGGUUAGCGUUGUUCGGAAUUACUGGGCGUAAAGCGCAUGUAGGCGGAUUAGAAAGUUAGGGGUGAAAUCCCGGGGCUCAACCUCGGAACUGCCUCUAAAACUCCUAGUCUAGAGUUCGAGAGAGGUGAGUGGAAUUCC
Molecule: ribosomal RNA, 616 nt
Filed under: uncultured Nautella sp.
Lineage: Bacteria; Pseudomonadati; Pseudomonadota; Alphaproteobacteria; Rhodobacterales; Roseobacteraceae
Description: bacterial SSU rRNA
Rfam family: Bacterial small subunit ribosomal RNA
Source: RNAcentral